AUUGAACGCUGGCGGCACGCCUUACACAUGCAAGUCGAACGGCAGCACGGGGCAACCUGGUGGCGAGUGGCGAACGGGUGAGUAAUGCAUCGGAACGUGCCAUUGAGUGGGGGAUAACGUAGCGAAAGUUGCGCUAAUACCGCAUAUUCUGUGAGCAGGAAAGCAGGGGACCGCAAGGCCUUGCGCUCUUUGAGCGGCCGAUGUCAGAUUAGCUAGUUGGUGAGGUAACGGCUUACCAAGGCGACGAUCUGUAGCGGGUCUGAGAGGAUGAUCCGCCACACUGGAACUGAGACACGGUCCAGACUCCUACGGGAGGCAGCAGUGGGGAAUUUUGGACAAUGGGCGCAAGCCUGAUCCAGCCAUGCCGCGUGAGUGAAGAAGGCC
RNAcentral lists this ribosomal RNA (384 nucleotides) under uncultured bacterium. RNAcentral describes it as "bacterial SSU rRNA". It matches the Rfam family "Bacterial small subunit ribosomal RNA", at positions 30 to 416 of the family's 1533-position model. The record is from RNAcentral.